RNAcentral lists this unclassified non-coding RNA (231 nucleotides) under uncultured fungus. RNAcentral describes it as "partial contains 18S rRNA, ITS1, 5.8S rRNA, ITS2 and 28S rRNA". The record is from RNAcentral. Lineage: Eukaryota; Fungi.
AAGGAUCAUUAACGAAUUAUAUUGGAGUUGUGCUGGUUAUUACAAGUGCACGCUCCUUACAAUUCCAUUCACACCCCUUGUGCACUCUAAGAGACGUAUCUCCCCCGUUUACGUGCCUUGAUUGGCUUGGGAUUUCGUCUGUUUAAUACACUCUUUAUUGUAAUAGAAUGUAAUCUGACCGAAAGGUCUAAAACUUAAAUAUAACUUUCAACAACGGAUCUCUUGGUUCUC